This 468-nucleotide ribosomal RNA is filed under the name uncultured bacterium. Its description in RNAcentral is "partial 16S ribosomal RNA". It matches the Rfam family "Bacterial small subunit ribosomal RNA", at positions 28 to 507 of the family's 1533-position model. The record is from RNAcentral.
GACGAACGCUGGCGGCGUGCUUAACACAUGCCAGUCGAACGGAAAGGCCCUGCUUUUGUGGGGUGCUCGAGUGGCGAACGGGUGAGUAACACGUGAGUAACCUGCCCUGGACUUUGGGAUAACUUCAGGAAACUGGGGCUAAUACCGGAUAGGAGCUCCUGCUGCAUGGUGGGGGUGGGAAAGUUUCGGCGGUUGGGGAUGGUCUCGCGGCUUAUCAGUUUGUUGGUGGGGUAGUGGCUUACCAAGGCUUUGACGGGUAGCCGGCCUGAGAGGGUGACCGGCCACAUUGGGACUGAGAUACGGCCCAGACUCCUACGGGAGGCAGCAGUGGGGAAUAUUGCACAAUGGGCGGAAGCCUGAUGCAGCAACGCCGCGUGCGGGAUGACGGCCUUCGGGUUGUAAACCGCUUUCGCCUGUGACGAAGCGUGAGUGACGGUAAUGGGUAAAGAAGCACCGGCUAACUACGUG